CAAGAAAAGAAGGGCUUGAACCUUCGACCUUUGGUUUUGGAAACCAAUAUUCUACCAACUAAACUAUUUUCUU
This 73-nucleotide transfer RNA is filed under the name Entomoneis sp. Its description in RNAcentral is "tRNA-Trp". Lineage: Eukaryota; Bacillariophyta; Bacillariophyceae; Surirellales; Surirellaceae. The record is from RNAcentral.